Molecule: transfer RNA, 63 nt
Filed under: Dendrobaena byblica
Lineage: Eukaryota; Metazoa; Annelida; Clitellata; Crassiclitellata; Lumbricidae
Description: partial tRNA-Ser
Source: RNAcentral
GGCUUGAUGUUUAGGAAACACUGGAUUUUGAACGUCCAUUUAAGAUGUUCAAUUCAUCUUCAG